CAAUUUAAAUUUUAUAAAAUAAAGGGUUCAUUUACAUUGAAUAAAAAUUUGUGUAAUACAAAUUAAAUUGA
RNAcentral lists this transfer RNA (71 nucleotides) under Bradysia amoena. RNAcentral describes it as "tRNA-Val". The record is from RNAcentral. Lineage: Eukaryota; Metazoa; Arthropoda; Insecta; Diptera; Sciaridae.